RNAcentral lists this unclassified non-coding RNA (1095 nucleotides) under Hevea brasiliensis (rubber tree). Lineage: Eukaryota; Viridiplantae; Streptophyta; Magnoliopsida; Malpighiales; Euphorbiaceae. The record is from RNAcentral.
CUAGUCAUGGCAAGCUAACUCAACCUGAAGGAAUCCGUACUUAUUUGCAGGAUACUGAGAGGAGCACAACCCAUAAGAAAUUGGGGAAGGUAAAAUUUACAGCAGAUGCCUGGACACCUAGAAGAUCUCCUAGAGAUUUAAGCAAGGGAAGUACUCCAGUAAAUGCAAGUCAGUCUACAGCAGAAGAUGCUGACAAGCAUAAUUCAACAAACAAAGAUGGAAGAAACGGGCAACCAGGUGCUUCCUCAUGUCAGCCUGAUAAUAAAAUGCAUUUCCAUGUGAAGAAUGGAAGUUUAGUCAGUCCCACGAAAGGUCAGGAGUCUUCAGAUUGUAAGGUUAUAGAAGUAGAGCACUAUGAUUUCAAGAGCGAAAAGUCCAAGGAUAAAUUUCAACUGGACCAGGUAUGGGCACUGCACAGUGAUAAGGAUGGUUUACCCAGGGAUUAUGCUCAGGUUAAGAAGAUUGAAUCCACUAAUGGGUUCAAAUUGCAUGUGGCAAUGCUUGAAGCCUGCCCACUCCAAAAAGACAUGCAGACUGUUUGCGGGACAUUUAAAGUUAAAAAUAAAUGCAUGGUGCUUCCUGUCACUGCAUUUUCUCAUCAGGUGAAAGCGAAGCCAAUUGGGAAGAACAAAUACGAAAUUUACCCUAGACAAGGGGAGAUUUGGGCAAUAUAUAGGAUCUGGAAUGCUGAAUUAACGUUUUCAGACCAGGAUGCAAGGGAAUGCGACUUUGUUGAAGUGGUAGAAGAAAAUGAGGGGAGUGUGAAAGCUGUAGUUUUGAUACCCGUUAAUGGAUCUGCAUCAUUUUACACGGCACCAAGAAGAUCAAAACGCAGUAUAAUUGACAUGCCACGGGCUGAGUUUGGUAGAUUUUCUCAUCAGUGUUUAGCUUCCCAGGUUGUGGGAAAGAACAAUAGUUUCCUGAAAGGCUAUUGGGAGCUUGCUCCUUCAUCAAUUCCUGGUUCUGUAAUUUUGGUAGAUUAAACGGUCGUAUUGUAGGUAGGUUGCGUACUGAUCUUUGUGGAAUGCUAUGAAAUUGUUCCCUGUUGUAAGCGGAAUGAAGUUUGUAGCAUUCCACAAAGAUCAGUACGCAACC